This 2479-nucleotide ribosomal RNA is filed under the name Klebsormidium flaccidum. RNAcentral describes it as "partial large subunit ribosomal RNA". It matches the Rfam family "Bacterial large subunit ribosomal RNA", at positions 107 to 2623 of the family's 2925-position model. The record is from RNAcentral. Lineage: Eukaryota; Viridiplantae; Streptophyta; Klebsormidiophyceae; Klebsormidiales; Klebsormidiaceae.
UGGAUCUCCGAUCGGGAAACCGCAUGCGUCGAUCAGAAACCAAAAGGUGGAAUGUUCGACAGACUACUUGGCCAACUGAAACAUCUAAGUAACCAAAGGAAAAAGAAAUCAACCGAGACUCCGUAAGUAGUGGCGAGCGAACGCGGACAUUGCUAGCUCUUAUUCAACCCCUUAAGAGGCUGAGAAGCCUUGCCAUAGAAGGUCAUAGCCCUGUAAGGGUUGAAUAUUCUGAAGAUUUACCAAUCUUGAAUGAGCAAAGAGCCCAUCCCCAUAGGGGAUUGGAGCUCAUUUUAUUUGAGGGGGGACCACCCUCCAAGCAAAGUAAUCCUUCUGACCUAUAGUGCAAUAGUACCGCGAGGGAAAGGUGAAGAAAACUCUGGAAAGAGGGUGAAAAGAUCUGAAAUCCAAUGCAGACAAUCAGUUGAAGGCAAUUGCCAUAUUGGGCAGUGCAUGAGUGAGAGCCAGGAUUGGCUUGAAUCCAUUCUCAAUUGCUUACAGCGUACCUUUUGUAUAAUGGGUCAGCGAGUCAAUCUUUACAGCAAGCUUAAGCUCUAAAGUGUAGGCGCAAUGAGAAACCAUACCAGUUGUAAGGAUUGGACCCGAAAUCGAUUGAGCUAGCCAUGGGCAGGUUGAAGCGGCGCCCGACAGCACGUGGAAGACCGAAUUCGUUACUGUGGCAAAAGUAUGAAAUGACCUGUGGCUAGGGGUGAAAGGCCUAUCAAAAUCGAAGAUAGCUGGUUUUUUGCGAAAUCUAUUUAGGUAGAGCGUUCUUCAGCAAUCGUGUUUGUAGGGGGUAGAGCACUCGAUGGGCUAGGGUGGCCCAAAGCUUGACCGAUCCCAAGGAAACUCCGAAUACAGGCCAUACGCUGAAAGCAGACAGACUUUGGGUGAUAAGGUCCAAGGUCAAAAGGGAAACAGCCCAGAUCGUAUGCUAAGGUCCCAAAGCAAUCACUUAGUGGAAAAGGUGGUCGCUAGGCGAUUACAACCGGGAGGUGGGCUUGGAAGCAGCCAUCCUAUUAUGACAGCGUAACAGCUCACUGGUCUAGCUUAGCGGCGCCUAAAAUGAACCGGGGCUCAAGUGAUUCACCGAAGCAACGAAAUUGAAUCGAGGGAGCUGAUACGAUUUUGAAGAAUUGUACCGAUCUGCGACCCCAUUCAAUUGGUAGCAAAACGUUCUAUAAGCCCUGUGAAGGCAACUCGUAAGAGAUGCUGGAGGCAUUAGAAGUGAGAAUGCUGACAUAAGUAACGAUUAAUAAUGUGCAAAGCAUUAUCGCCGAAAGUUCAAGGGUUUCAUUGUUCAGUCAAUCUGCAAUGAGUCAAUAAGGCCCCUAAGUUUCAUGCUGAAGAGCAUUGAUCGAUGGGUAGGCUGGGAGCGACGAAGAGAUCGCUGAUGGGGCUAUUGCCCCCUGCUUCGCUCCACUCCUCUCUGGGGAGUGGGGCUCUGCGCUCAAUCAUCUUUCUGAUACAGAACACGCGGCAAUCGCGCCUUGCAGGAGUGAUUUGAUUCGAGACAAUCCUUUUCCUAGAAACAACUCCAGCCACAACUAUACCUUACCCCAAACCGACACAGGUGAACAAGUAGAGAAUACUAAGGCGUUGGGACAAUCACCUUGAAGGAACUCGGCAAAAUCACUCCGUAACUUCGGGAGAAGGAGGGCUCUCAAGAGAGAGUGGCACAGAAUAGGGGGUGGCGGCUGUUUAUUAAAAACACAGGACUCUGCAAAGUACCAAUACCAUGUAUAGAGUCUGACACCUGCCCGGUGCUGUAAGGUGAAUAGGAGAGGUAAGUAUGCUUCGAAUGAAAGCCCCAGUAAACGGCGGCAGUAACUCUAACUGUCCUAAGGUAGCGAAAUUCCUUGACGUAUAAUUAACGUCCUGCAUGAAUGGUGUCACGACUGCCCCGCUGUCUCCAAGGUGAGCCCAGUGAAUUUGAAUUCUCCGUGAAGAUGCGGAGUACCAGCGGCUAGACGGUAAGACCCCGUGCACCUUUACUAUAGCUUUGCACUGGCCACCCCGGUAUGAUGUGUAGAAUAGGUGGGACCAUACAAUUGGGAUCGUGAAAUACCAUCCUUUAUUCUGGGGGGGUCUAACUAUAAGAAUGUAGGACCUUGCAUAGUUGGUAGUUUCCCUGGGGAGGGGUUCUCCUAAAGAGUAACGGAGAAGUGUGAAGGUAAGCUCAAGCUGUGCUUGCGCGCAGCUGUAGAGCGUAAUGGUACAUGCUUGCCUGACUGUAAGACCUACAAGUCGAACAGAGACGAAAGUCGGCCAUAGUGAUCCGGGGGCCCCGUGUGGAAGGGCCCUCGCUCAACGAAUCAAAGGUACGCCGGGGAUAACAGGCUAAUGACCCCCAAGAGCCCAUAUCGACGGGGUCGUUUGGCACCUCGAUGUCGACUCAUCACAUCCUGGGGGUGAAGAAGCUCCCAAGGGUUCGGUUGUUCGCCGAUGAAAGUGGUACGUGAGUUAGGUUUAGAACGUCGUG